UCCCUGGUGAUCCAGUGGCUAAGACUCUGCACUCUCAAUGCAGGGGGCCUAGGUUCAAUUCCUGGUCAAGGAA
This 73-nucleotide transfer RNA is filed under the name Ovis aries (sheep). It matches the Rfam family "tRNA". From Rfam's summary of the family: Transfer RNA (tRNA) molecules are approximately 80 nucleotides in length. The record is from Rfam by way of RNAcentral. Lineage: Eukaryota; Metazoa; Chordata; Mammalia; Artiodactyla; Bovidae.